GACGAACGCUGGCGGCGUGCUAACACAUGCAAGUCGAACGGAAAGGCCCUGCUUUUGUGGGGUGCUCGAGUGGCGAACGGGGGAGUAACACGUGAGUAACCUGCCCUUGACUUUGGGAUAACUUCAGGAAACUGGGGCUAAUACCGGAGAGGAGCUCCUGCUGCAGGGUGGGGGUUGGAAAGUUUCGGCGGUUGGGGAUGGACUCGCGGCUUAUCAACUUGUUGGUGGGGUAGUGGCUUACCAAGGCUUUGACGGGUAGCCGGCCUGAGAGGGUGACCGGCCACAUUGGGACUGAGAUACGGCCCAGACUCCUACGGGAGGCAGCAGUGGGGAAUAUUGCACAAUGGGCGGAAGCCUGAUGCAGCAACGCCGCGUGCGGGAUGACGGCCUUCGGGCUGUAAACCGCUUUCGCCUGUGACGAAGCGUGAGUGACGGUAAUGGGUAAAGAAGCACCGGCUAACUACGUG
This 467-nucleotide ribosomal RNA is filed under the name uncultured bacterium. RNAcentral's name for it is "partial 16S ribosomal RNA". It matches the Rfam family "Bacterial small subunit ribosomal RNA", at positions 28 to 507 of the family's 1533-position model. The record is from RNAcentral.